This is a long non-coding RNA of Brassica rapa (field mustard), 741 nucleotides long. RefSeq lists it as uncharacterized. The record is from RefSeq and is a predicted model, not a curated record. NCBI's taxonomy places the organism in Eukaryota, Viridiplantae, Streptophyta, Magnoliopsida, Brassicales, Brassicaceae.
GGACUCGGACUCCUGUUGGGGGUAGACAAACAGCUUGUCGGAACCGGACUAGUGCCAAUUUGAAGUCAGUAUCCUCAGCUAGGUGAACUGGUGACUUGAGGGGCAUGAUGUUCCAAACUUCUUUGGCGAAAGGGCAGAGGAAGAAUAAGUGCAUUGCUGUUUCUACCUCGGUGCAUCGGGGGCAUUGGGCUGCAGAAAUCAUUCCUCUUCUUUGGAGUUCUGCGCCUAUAGAUGGGUGGAGAUUCGACGGUGGGGCUUGUUGUGCUUGCGAGUUAUAUCCAGAUUUGGAUGAGUAGACUCCAGUGUGAAGAGGGAGCCAGACAUAAAUGUCCUCUGCCCCUAGCUUGCUUGGCUUUAUGCAUUGAAUCUGCGAGCUGAAGCUUGGUAAGAAUUGCUCUAUUCUCUCUUUAUUUGACUCUUUGAUGAUGAUAACCUAGCGAUUUCGAAAUGGGCCCAACUUGCUUAAUAGAGAUAAAAGUAUACACGUAGAGAUUGAAACGUUCUGACCAGAACACACCAGGUAGUGCCCAAAUCAGAUAAAAUCAUCCAACGUUGAUGAUGUCAUGAUAUGCUGCAGAUGGUCUUAGCUUAUCAUCAAGGCUCUCUUUACCAAAGAUAAGCUAUCUCGAUAGCUUAUGUCUUAUCAGUUAUCACUGACCAUUGAAAGAAUCACUCUCGGUUAGCCGUUGGAGUGAGAUACAGACUCAAAUCUUUAUAUGAGGCAUAACUUUUCCAAUGUAA